Molecule: ribosomal RNA, 1445 nt
Filed under: uncultured Banisveld eukaryote
Lineage: Eukaryota
Description: SSU rRNA
Rfam family: Eukaryotic small subunit ribosomal RNA
Source: RNAcentral
GAUUCUGGUUGAUCCUGCCAGUAGUCAUAUGCUUGUCUCAAAGAUUAAGCCAUGCAUGUCUAAGUUUAAGCAAUAAACAGUGAAACUGCGAAUGGCUCAUUAAAUCAGUCAUAGUUUAUUUGAUGGUACCUUACUACAUGGAUAACUGUGGUAAUUCUAGAGCUAAUACAUGCUGAAAAAUCCCGACUUCUGGAAGGGAUGUAUUUAUUAGAUCCAAAACCAAUGGCCUUCGGGUCCCUAUGGUGAAUCAUGAUAACUGCUCGAAUCGCAUGGCCUUGCGCCGGCGAUGCUUCAUUCAAAUAUCUGCCCUAUCAACUUUCGAUGGUAGGAUAGAGGCCUACCAUGGUGAUGACGGGUAACGGGGAAUAAGGGUUCGAUUCCGGAGAGAGGGCCUGAGAAACGGCCCUCAGGUCUAAGGACACGCAGCAGGCGCGCAAAUUAUCCCCUGGCAACACUUUGCCGAGAUAGUGACAAUAAAUAACAAUGCAGGGCUCUUACGGGUCUUGCAAUUGGAAUGAGUACAAUUUAAAUCCCUUAACGAGGAUCAAUUGGAGGGCAAGUCUGGUGCCAGCAGCCGCGGUAAUCCCAGCUCCAAUAGCGUAUAUUAAAAUUGUUGCCGUUAAAAAGCUCGUAGUCGAACUUCGGGCUCUGUCAGCCGGUCCGCCUUCUUGGUGUGUACUUGUUUGACGGAGCCUUACCUCCUGGUGAACGGCGAUGUCCUUUACUGGGUGUCGUCGCAAACCAGGACUUUUACUUUGAAAAAAUUAGAGUGUUCAAAGCAGGCCUUUGCCCGAAUACAUUAGCAUGGAAUAAUAAAAUAGGACGCGCGUUCCCAUUUUGUUGGUUUCUGAGAUCGCCGUAAUGAUUAAUAGGGAUAGUUGGGGGCAUUUGUAUUCCGUCGUCAGAGGUGAAAUUCUUGGAUUGCCGGAAGACAAACUACUGCGAAAGCAUUUGCCAAGGAUGUUUUCAUUGAUCAAGAACGAAGGAAGGGGGAUCGAAAACGAUUAGAUACCGUUGUAGUCUCUUCUGUAAACUAUGCCAAUUGGGGAUCGGUACAGGAUUUUUAAUGACUGUAUCGGCACCCGAAGAGAAAUCUUUAAAUGAGGUUCGGGGGGGAGUAUGGUCGCAAGGCUGAAACUUAAAGGAAUUGACGGAAGGGCACCACCAGGUGUGGAGCCUGCGGCUUAAUUUGACUCAACACGGGGAAACUCACCAGGUCCAGACACAAUAAGGAUUGACAGAUUGAUAGCUCUUUCUUGAUCUUGUGGUUGGUGGUGCAUGGCCGUUCUUAGUUGGUGGAGUGAUUUGUCUGGUUAAUUCCGAUAACGAACGAGACCUUAACCUGCUAAAUAGACCAGCCGGCUUUGGCUAGCUGCUGUCUUCUUAGAGGGACUAUCAGCGUUUAGCUGAUGGAAGUUUGAGGCAAUAACAGGUCUGUGAUGCCC